AUAUGGUUUCAAAUCUAAAUAUGAUAAUAGAGAAACCGAAUGAACGGUGCCGCACUUCAUGUCACGUAUUCAUUGGGCCGCCGGUUCUCCGUGGAGAUGCCCACGUAUUACGUAUAUCACCACGCGACUCCCCCUCUACAGGAUACCACAUAACCCUAACCCACUUCAGAGAAUAGAGAGAACUGGAAGAGAGAGAGAGAGAGAGGUUGCGAGAUAGAGGGAGAUCCGAUGAAUCAACGUUAGGGUUCUGAUGUUUAAGAACACGGUUGAGGAGAUCACGAUUGCGGUGAUUGGCCGAAAAACUAGGGUUUGUACCGGUUGCCACACGGUUGCGAGAUUGAGUGUCGCUUUCGGCGGUGGCGCUGUAUGUGUUGGUACCUCCGCUGCACCGGCGGCUUCGGUUGUCAAUGGUGGUGUGGUGCUCUGAAUUUUACAGGCAACAGAUUAAUGUCUCUUGGGUUUCACACAGAAUACAUGUCUUCCAUUGCUGGUUCUUAUGGGUAUAUUGCACCAGAUUGACCAACAAGGCAUCUUUUAUGUUAAAUGAAUAGUAGUUUUCAGAUGUGGUUUGCUCCUAUUGAUUGAUUUGGGCCGUCAUCCACACGUGUCUAUUUUACCCCUACUGGACUCUAUAUGCAAACCAAACAGGUGGCUAGAGAAAACCCCAGCUGGCGAGUCUCCGGCAACUGGUCCGCGAUAAAGAGAGAGAAAUACACGGUAGUUGUGGCUCUGCCGGACACGCUUGGAUACGGCAACUGCCGAUGGUGGUUCGAAAUCUUGGUGAAGUCGGCGUAGAGGUGGGCUCAUACUCCAGCAGCGGCUCACUUGAAUACGCCAACGCAAGAGGCGGUUUGAAGUUCUGGUAGCAAUUCAAAACUCCAAUAUGUACCAAUAUCACCACUUUUACAAUCUCAAGAUUCAUUAGUUUGGCCCCAAAUUUCAAGAAACAGAGAUAUUUAGGUGCUGUCAAUCUUAAUUUUUAAAGUUUAGUUACAAGAUUUUAUUAUAAACUGCCCCCAUGCUUUUAUCUUCUUUUUUAUGUAAUAAUAUUAUUAUUCUAGAUCCCUGUUGAAUUACCCAGUUGUUAUUUUUACCGAUUUGUUAAAAU
Helianthus annuus (common sunflower) is the source of this 1108-nucleotide long non-coding RNA. RefSeq lists it as uncharacterized. The record is from RefSeq and is a predicted model, not a curated record. The transcript is spliced from 3 exons. Lineage: Eukaryota; Viridiplantae; Streptophyta; Magnoliopsida; Asterales; Asteraceae.